UCCUAUUAAGAAAACCAAUGAAAAUAGAAAUGAGAAAGGGAAGGGUUUCCGGUGUUAGGACUAAUAAGAAAAUGAAGGGUUAGUAACGUAUUGGGUUAUAUAUGUAUGAGAGUUUGGGAUCGAAUUUAGGAUAGGGGAACAAUUCUAAAGGAGGAAGACGACUGGGUUAGAGCGAUUUGGAGAUUUUAUCGAAGGGUGAAGCAAGUGAGAAGUCGUUAGUCUAAGCAUGCAUUACUCUUUGUCUCAAUUCCAUGUAUUUUGAUGUUUUUCUUUAAGAACAUAAAUAUGGGAGACUUAGACACAUGAAAUACUAUCCCUAAAGUUUAUAUUCUACAUUUGAAAGGAUUUUAUGUUGGAUGGUGAUUGUCUUUGAAAGCUAUAUUUAAACUGCAAGUUGAAAAAA
Long non-coding RNA from Papaver somniferum (opium poppy), 403 nucleotides. RefSeq lists it as uncharacterized. The record is from RefSeq and is a predicted model, not a curated record. The transcript has 2 exons. Lineage: Eukaryota; Viridiplantae; Streptophyta; Magnoliopsida; Ranunculales; Papaveraceae.